Lutra lutra (Eurasian river otter) is the source of this 2553-nucleotide long non-coding RNA. RefSeq lists it as uncharacterized. NCBI's taxonomy places the organism in Eukaryota, Metazoa, Chordata, Mammalia, Carnivora, Mustelidae. The record is from RefSeq and is a predicted model, not a curated record. The transcript is spliced from 2 exons.
GGAGAAGGACGUGCGCGGCUUCUUCCUCUUUGGGGGGGUCCGGUUUUGAUAGGGGUGGCCUAUGCGCCGCGUCCCGGAGAAGGGCGAGAGUGCAGCUACAGGGAGGAAGAAAAAACAGGGCAGGGUUUUCAGGGCGGCCCUUCCAGAUGUUCGAAGCCGGGCGCCAUCCCAGCAAAGGCCUCCAGACAAGAAAGGGCCUCGGAAGAAAUGGCCCUCCCCCUUGGGUGAGGAAGAGACAGCCCCCGGAACUUCACCCUGCCCUACCCGCAGUGUGGACAGUGGGCUGCAAAGGAGGGCGCGGACAUCGACGGCAGCUCCCUCCCCAUUGCCUCUCUGAGCAUCAGGACCAAGAGAAACAUGUUGGGGGAAGAUCCCCUGGGACGAUCCGGGCGGGGAGCGUACGGGGAACUUGAGUCGGAGCAGAAGGAUCAAAGAUGAGGAAAAGGGGUCAAUGUGGGGCUGGACGCUGGAGGGUCGGGCAAUCUCACCCGUGAGCCGGUCCUUGGCAAAGCGGCGGCCGCUGUCCAUCCAAGGGAAGGCCCCAAUUUUCGCCUCGCGAUGGGUCCUGCUUGCCGACUCCCAGAUUCGUUGUGGCCCCCGCCUAAGUGCCCUCGAAGACCAAAUCUCGUUGUGGCUUCCUGGCUUUGAUGGGAAGCGGUUGGGAACGGCGCCGGCGAUUUGGAGGCUCGGGAAGAGGACAGGUGUGGGAAGGCGGUGGCGGGGCGCGUCUGGUGGGCUAGGGCGGGGAGCAACCACUCCAGGCCAGCGACCCUGGUGCACCUCCCGGCCUCUGCCGUAGGGGCCCUACCUUCUUCCCCGAACCCCAGUAACCGGUGCCCUGUGUUUCUUAGAAUUUCGAUUUUCCGAAAUCGGUGUAAAGCGUACCAUUGGCUCAACCCAGGCUAAGUCAGGCGGAUGAAAGCCUGGGGGUGGCGUUCUGCCCCCCACAGGGGACCACCAACGUGGGACUCUGCCGCUCCACUCUACGCCUAGGAAGUCAAUUCUCAAACACUUCCCCCUCAAAGGCGAGAGGACAAAAUCGCCACAGGCGACACGUGGGUCCUUACUGAAGCCUUCGGCGGUCUCAGCCGCGUCAUUUUCCACAGGCCCUUCACCCACCCAACUCCAGAAACUGUGCCUGGAGUGUGUCAGGGACGGGAGGUGGGGAAAGACUGAAGGCGCUCUGUGACCUUGUGACCUCUGGCCGGGGACCCAGGAGCUGGGAGUGUGUGAACUCUGCGUCCUUCCCGGGAUGGGACCCGGGCCCGGCGGGCCCCUGCGCUUUAGACACGCCCCCGCCGCCGCCCGGCCCGGUGCAGGCCGCCAUAAUCGGGUUAGCUGGGUCGGAAUUACAUUACCUUCCCCGGCCCGCCCCGACCCCGGGGGGGCCCUGGCGCCUCCGAGCCGGUGAGACUGGGCGCAGGGAGGGGGGUUGUUCCUACCAUUCCGAGACGGGUGGGCACGGGUGAGCCGCUCGGCCUGCCUUGGACACGUGGUGGCCAAAGGACCCCACCCUGAUGUGUCAGCCCUUGCCCCUAGACCCCACCCCACUCUGGUGCUCAGCUCCAGUCGUCUUGUUACCCGUGUAAGCCGAAAUGCCUUCCAAGUCUAGUAGAUGGGUCUCCCUAGGUGCACGGAUCUUCCAGUUGAUUCUCCAGGAUCUCCUGGGAAAGACUGCCCCUCCUUUCUCACCAGCAGAUGGGCUGAAGCCCUGCGCCUGAGGCAGGGUGAGGGGGUCUUUUCUCUCCAGGGAACUGCAAGCGGUAUUUGGGCAUCUGGGCAGGAAGAUAAAAAAGCGAAGGGAAUGGACUCUCCCCACUAAAGCCACCACCCCCUCCUUCAAAGUUCUCAGAAGCCUCAGUCUGAAGGGGGUGAACCACGGAGGAGGGAGGCAGUCAGCAUCAGUAAUAUGUGACUUCCUUCCCCAAAUUCUCGUCCACUUCCACUAUCCAUUUUCCCCAGCCCUUUCUGACCCUGCAAAUAGCCCUUUCUUAAGGUGGGGCGGGGGGGAGGGGGGCUCCCACCAGUUUGGUAGCUGUGUUAUCUAGAUAGGCUGGUGGAAAAGACAGACAUUAUCACCUCCCCUAGUCCCUCACUGAAGCCCAAGCACCCUUUCUCAGCAGUAGAGAAGUGGGGCUACUAGGGGCCACGAAACUUCUGCUGUUCAGGCAGGGAAAACCUCCAGAGGCCAUUUGGGCUGGAUCCUCUGAAUGAGAACGGAGAGCCUAGGGAGACAGCAAAGUAAGUAAAGACGCUGGCCUGCAGGUUAAGAAUCUGUCAGUCCUUUUCUCCACUCCAGUGCGUGGACCUCUGAAGAAAGGCUGGGCUCUAGUGUGUCUGCAAUCAGGCUGAAUAAAUCCUUUUUGAAUGAAUCAGUGAGGAAGGAAGAACUGUAUUCCUGCUGACAGUUUACCCUGCCUUUUGAGGUCAGCCCUGAUGGCACUGCCAUCCAGAGAUCGCCCAGCUGACCCUUGGAGGAGAAUGGUCACAAACCCAGUAAUGUAUAUACAUCUUCUGGGGAGUUACAAAAAAAGAAAUGAGUGCCCUAUUUUU